CAGUAGCCGCGGGAAUACGUAGGUGGCAAGCGUUGUCCGGAAUUAUUGGGCGUAAAGGGCUCGCAGGCGGUUUCUUAAGUCUGAGGUGGAAGCCCCCGGCUCAACCGGGGAGGGUCAUUGGAAACUGGGAGACUUGAGUGCAGAAGAGGAGAGCGGAAUUCCAUGUGUAGCGGUGAAAUGCGUAGAGAUUAGGAGGAACACCAGUGGCGAAGGCGGCUUUUUGGCCUGUAACUGACACUGAGGCGCGAAAGCGUGGGGAGCAAACAGGAUUAGAUACCCCUGUAGUCCCUGUCUCUUAUAA
RNAcentral lists this ribosomal RNA (301 nucleotides) under uncultured bacterium. Its description in RNAcentral is "partial 16S ribosomal RNA". It matches the Rfam family "Bacterial small subunit ribosomal RNA", at positions 509 to 809 of the family's 1533-position model. The record is from RNAcentral.